Molecule: ribosomal RNA, 380 nt
Filed under: uncultured eukaryote
Lineage: Eukaryota
Description: partial 18S ribosomal RNA
Rfam family: Eukaryotic small subunit ribosomal RNA
Source: RNAcentral
CAAUAGCGUAUAUUAAAGUUGUUGCGGUUAAAAAGCUCGUAGUUGGAUUUCUGCCGAGGACGACCGGUCCGCCCUCUGGGUGAGUAUCUGGCUCGGCCUGGGCAUCUUCUUGGAGAACGUAGCUGCACUUGACUGUGUGGUGCGGUAUCCAGGACUUUUACUUUGAGGAAAUUAGAGUGUUUCAAGCAGGCUUACGCCUUGAAUACAUUAGCAUGGAAUAAUAAGAUAGGACCUCGGUUCUAUUUUGUUGGUUUCUAGAGCUGAGGUAAUGAUUAAUAGGGAUAGUUGGGGGCAUUCGUAUUUAACUGUCAGAGGUGAAAUUCUUGGAUUUGUUAAAGAUGGACUACUGCGAAANCANNNGCCAAGGAUGUUUUCAUNGA